UGAAAGUUUGCUUUAUGGGUGUGUUUGGUUCGCCCCUUUUUCACCCUGGAAUUGGAAUCGGAAUAGACGAAUAUGUUUGUCCAUAUUUGGUAUGCGGGAUUAAAUUUCACUUUUUUAAGUUUAUUUGUUAAUUAAAAUAUAAGUUUAAGAGUAAACAUUACAUUUAUAAAUUUAAAUUUUAAUUUGAACUUAAAUUAAAAAUUAAGACUCAAUCAAGCAUUUCGAAUCUAAUUUAUAAAUUUGAAUUAAGUUUAAUUUAAAAUUUAAAAUUUUAUUCAAAUUUUAUUUAGAAUUUAAAUUAUAUUUACGGAUUCAAUUAAAAUUUAAAUUAUGAUUUUAAUUUUGAAUUUGAUUACUUUUAUAUUUUGAAUUAUCAAUUCAAUUUCCAAGUUUAUUUUUUUUUUUAAAAAUAUAUUUAAAAUUUGAUAUUAUUUUAAAAUUUUGACCUAAAUUUUUAAUAUUUAAUUUUUAGUUUGAAUUUAAGCUAAUAUAUUAUAAAGAUAAAAUUAGCAUAUUAAUUUGAUUAUAUUUCUGAUAUCUAUCCGAACCAAACACCGACAAUAGAAAUAGUUCAUUCCGAUUUUGAUUCAGGUGGCAACCAAACAAAAUGAGGUAAUGAAUCAUUCCAAUUUCGUUUCCAACUUAUUCUCAUUUCGAGUCUGAUACCGAUUCCGACUUCG
Molecule: long non-coding RNA, 680 nt
Filed under: Ananas comosus (pineapple)
Lineage: Eukaryota; Viridiplantae; Streptophyta; Magnoliopsida; Poales; Bromeliaceae
Description: long non-coding RNA (ACOM_LNC043356)
Source: RNAcentral